RNAcentral lists this ribosomal RNA (439 nucleotides) under uncultured bacterium. Its description in RNAcentral is "bacterial SSU rRNA". It matches the Rfam family "Bacterial small subunit ribosomal RNA", at positions 340 to 786 of the family's 1533-position model. The record is from RNAcentral.
UACGGAAGGCAGCAGUGGGGAAUAUUGCACAAUGGGCGAAAGCCUGAUGCAGCGACGCCGCGUGAGGGAUGACGGCCUUCGGGUUGUAAACCUCUUUCAGCAGGGAAGAAGCCACAAGUGACGGUACCUGCAGAAGAAGCGCCGGCUAACUACGUGCCAGCAGCCGCGGUAAUACGUAGGGCGCAAGCGUUGUCCGGAAUUAUUGGGCGUAAAGAGCUCGUAGGCGGUUUUGUCGCGUCUGCUGUGAAAGCCCGGGGCUUAACCCCGGGUGUGCAGUGGGUACGGGCAGCUAGAGUGCAGUAGGGGAGACUGGAAUUCCUGGUGUAGCGGUGGAAUGCGCAGAUAUCAGGAGGAACACCGAUGGCGAAGGCAGGUCUCUGGGCUGUUACUGACGCUGAGGAGCGAAAGCAUGGGGGAGCGGAACAGGGAUUAGGAUACC